RNAcentral lists this non-coding RNA (211 nucleotides) under Chitinophaga pinensis. The record is from RNAcentral. Lineage: Bacteria; Pseudomonadati; Bacteroidota; Chitinophagia; Chitinophagales; Chitinophagaceae.
UAGGUUUGUGCCGCAUUUGGUUUCGCCUGAAGGCGAAUUAAUAGGGAAUCCGGUGUAACUCCGGAGCUAUCCCCGUAGCUGUAAUCCUGUAUCGCAAUACGCGUUCGUUUUUUCCGGUAUACUCUUCAAAGCCACUGUCCGCCCCAGGCGGAACGGGAAGGCCCGGGAAAAGCAGGAGAGCCAGAAGACCUGCCAGUUGCAACAGCUAUAU